GAUUAUACUUUCCUUUUCUCUCUUUUCUGUUCAAUCGGAUUUUUCAUUUGCUUUGGCUCUUUAUUUAUUCGAUCACGAAAAUGGUAGCAGUGGUCCCUCACUAACAGUAUACCUGAGAACAGGGGAUUACCACUCAAAGUCAGAAUAGAAUUACGUAAGCAUAAAUCAAAAUAAUAAAAAAUAAAAAUAAAAAUAAAAAAUAAAAAAUAAAAAAGGGAAGCGAAAGCGAGGAAGUAGACAGCAGGGGAGAGGAGUGGAGAAGCGGGUGGCUUGGCUGCUCCACCCGUUUUUGUUUUGUUUAUCUUAACUUCAAAAUCCACAUUUCUUUUAUCUUCCUCCAAAUCCACAAAAAUUUAUACUUCCCUAUCUCUAUCUCUUUCUCCAUCUCUCUCCUUUCCCCCACAAUCAUGGCUAACCUUCAUUCUCUAUCUCCCGUUCUUCACCCUACUUACCGGUUCUCCUCUGACAAUGGAUUGCUGCUCGUCGACUUCGUCGGUUUGUACUGUAAAUCCAAACCUACUACCAGGCGGAGGCUUCCCCUCUCCCUCAAUACUCGGACUAUGCGCCGCUUUUCAAC
This 577-nucleotide long non-coding RNA is filed under the name Gossypium barbadense (sea-island cotton). Its description in RNAcentral is "long non-coding RNA (GBAR_LNC013774)". Lineage: Eukaryota; Viridiplantae; Streptophyta; Magnoliopsida; Malvales; Malvaceae. The record is from RNAcentral.